RNAcentral lists this ribosomal RNA (290 nucleotides) under Anophryoides haemophila. RNAcentral describes it as "partial Bacterial large subunit ribosomal RNA". It matches the Rfam family "Bacterial large subunit ribosomal RNA", at positions 43 to 311 of the family's 2925-position model. The record is from RNAcentral. Lineage: Eukaryota; Ciliophora; Oligohymenophorea; Philasterida; Glauconematidae.
AAGAGGCGAUGAAGGACGUGGGUGGCUGCGAUAUGCCACGGGGAGCUGCCUACCAAGCUUCGAUCCGUGGGUCUCCGAAUGGGGAAACCCGGCGCCCGUCAUGGGGCGUCACUCCGGUCUGAAUUCAUAGGGCCGGUAGAGGGAACUGGGCGAAUUGAAACAUCUUAGUAGCCCGAGGAACGGAAAACAACAGUGACUCCCUGAGUAGCGGCGAGCGAAACGGGAUGAGCCUAAACCUGGCUGGUGGUAAAACCUGGUGGUGUUGCCAGUCGGGGGUUGUGGGACUUGAC